Molecule: unclassified non-coding RNA, 334 nt
Filed under: soil metagenome
Description: partial contains 5.8S ribosomal RNA, internal transcribed spacer 2, and large subunit ribosomal RNA
Rfam family: 5.8S ribosomal RNA (bases 1-120)
Source: RNAcentral
GAUGAAGAACGUAGCGAAAUGCGAUAAGUAAUGUGAAUUGCAGAAUUCAGUGAAUCAUCGAAUCUUUGAACGCACAUUGCGCCCGCCAGUAUUCUGGCGGGCAUGCCUGUUCGAGCGUCAUCUCAACCAUCAAGCCCUGCUUGCGUUGGGGUCCUGCGGCUGCCCGCAGGCCCUGAAAACCAGUGGCGGGCUCGCUAGUCACACCGAGCGCAGUAAUUCAUCUCGCUUUGGGCGUGCGGCGGGUUCUUGCCGUUAAACACCCCCUUUUUACCAAGGUUGACCUCGGAUCAGGUAGGAAUACCCGCUGAACUUAAGCAUAUCAAUAAGCGGAGGA